RNAcentral lists this ribosomal RNA (551 nucleotides) under uncultured archaeon. Its description in RNAcentral is "bacterial SSU rRNA". It matches the Rfam family "Archaeal small subunit ribosomal RNA", at positions 326 to 879 of the family's 1478-position model. The record is from RNAcentral.
CGGGGUGCAGCAGGCGCGAAAACUUUGCAAUACACGAAAGUGUGACAGGGUUAUCCCGAGUGCCGACCGCUGAGGUUGGCUUUUACCCAGUCUAGAAAGCUGGGGGAAUAAGGAGAGGGCAAGUCUGGUGUCAGCCGCCGCGGUAAUACCAGCUCUCCGAGUGGUGUGGACGUUUAUUGGGCCUAAAGCAUCCGUAGCUGGCUGGACAAGUCCCCUGUUAAACCCACCGAUUUAAUCGUUGGCGUGCGGGGGAUACUGCUCGGCUAGGGGACGAGAGAGGCAGACGGUAUUCCCGGGGUAGGGGUGAAAUCCUAUAAUCCCGAGAAGACCACCAGUGGCGAAGGCUGUCUGCUAGAACGCGCCCGACGGUGAGGGAUGAAAGCUGGGGGAGCGAACCGGAUUAGAUACCCGGGUAGUCCCAGCUGUAAACGAUGCAGACUAGGUGUUUGGACGGCCACGUGCCGUUCUAGUGCCGCAGGGAAGCUGUUAAGUCUGCCGCCUGGGGAGUACGAUCGCAAGAUUGAAACUUAAAGGAAUUGGCGGGGGAGCAC